RNAcentral lists this ribosomal RNA (377 nucleotides) under uncultured eukaryote. RNAcentral's name for it is "partial 18S ribosomal RNA". It matches the Rfam family "Eukaryotic small subunit ribosomal RNA", at positions 592 to 976 of the family's 1831-position model. The record is from RNAcentral.
CAAUAGCGUAUAUUAAAGUUGUUGCAGUUAAAAAGCUCGUAGUUGGAUUUCGGGGCAGCCUGGCUGGUACGCCGCAAGGCGAGUACUGGUCAGCCGACCUUCCUCUCGAAAGCCCCGACUGCUCUUCGUUGCAGUGGUCGGGUAGUUCGGGACGUUUACUUUGAAAAAAUUAGAGUGUUCAAGGCAGGCCUACGCCUGAAUACAUUAGCAUGGAAUAAUGGAAGAGGACCUCGGUCCUAUUUUGUUGGUUUCCAGGGCCGAAGUAAUGAUUAAGAGGGACAGUUGGGGGCAUUCGUAUUUAAUUGUCAGAGGUGAAAUUCUCGGAUUUAUGAAAGACGAACAACUGCGAAAGCAUUUGCCAAGGAUGUUUUCAUUAA